RNAcentral lists this unclassified non-coding RNA (403 nucleotides) under soil metagenome. RNAcentral describes it as "partial contains 5.8S ribosomal RNA, internal transcribed spacer 2, and large subunit ribosomal RNA". The stretch from base 2 to 119 matches the Rfam family "5.8S ribosomal RNA", at positions 38 to 154 of the family's 154-position model. The record is from RNAcentral.
GGAAGAACGCAGCGAAAUGCGAUAAGUAAUGUGAAUUGCAGAAUUCAGUGAAUCAUCGAAUCUUUGAACGCACCUUGCGCCCUUUGGCCAUUCCGAAGGGCAUGCCUGUUUGAGUAUCAUGAACACCUCAACUCUUUAUGGUUUUCCAUGAUGAGCUUGGACUCUGGGGGUUUUGCUGGCUCACAGUCGGCUCCUCUAAAAUGAAUCAGCUUACCAGUGUUUGGUGGGUAUCAUGGGUGUGAUAACUAUCUACGCUUGUGGUUUUUCCACCAGGUAACCUUCAGCAGUGGAGGUUCGCUGGAGCUCAUAGAUGUCUCUCCUCAGUGAGGACAGCCCUUUGAAUGUUUGAUCUCAAAUCAGGUAGGACUACCCGCUGAACUUAAGCAUAUCAAUAAGCGGAGGA